Molecule: ribosomal RNA, 253 nt
Filed under: uncultured bacterium
Lineage: Bacteria
Description: partial 16S ribosomal RNA
Rfam family: Bacterial small subunit ribosomal RNA
Source: RNAcentral
UACGAAGGGGGCUAGCGUUGCUCGGAAUCACUGGGCGUAAAGCGCACGUAGGCGGUGUUCCAUGUCAGAGGUGAAAGCCUGGGGCUCAACUCCAGAAUUGCCUUUGAAACGGGGACGCUUGAGUCCGAGAGAGGGUGGCGGAAUUCCUAGUGUAGAGGUGAAAUUCGUAGAUAUUAGGAAGAACACCAGUGGCGAAGGCGGCCACCUGGCUCGGUACUGACGCUCAGGUUCGAAAGCGUGGGGAGCAAACAGG